This 416-nucleotide ribosomal RNA is filed under the name uncultured bacterium. RNAcentral's name for it is "bacterial SSU rRNA". It matches the Rfam family "Bacterial small subunit ribosomal RNA", at positions 362 to 773 of the family's 1533-position model. The record is from RNAcentral.
UUUUGGGCAAUGGGCGAAAGCCUGACCCAGCAACGCCGCGUGAAGGAUGAAAUCCCUCGGGAUGUAAACUUCGCAAGAACGGGCAGAAUAAGUGGGGGUUAAUAUCCUCCAUGCUGACGGUACUGUUUGUAAGCUCCGGCUAACUCUGUGCCAGCAGCCGCGGUAAUACAGAGGGUGCGAGCGUUGUCCGGAAUCACUGGGCGUAAAGGGCGCGUAGGCGGCCCCUUAAGCGUGUCGUGAAAGCGCGGGGCUCAACCCCGCGUCGGCGAUGCGAACUGGGGGGCUGGAGCACGUCAGAGGCAGGCGGAAUUCCGGGUGUAGCGGUGGAAUGCGUAGAGAUCCGGAAGAACACCGGUGGCGAAGGCGGCCUGCUGGGACGUGGCUGACGCUGAGGCGCGACAGCGUGGGGAGCAAAC